This 360-nucleotide long non-coding RNA is filed under the name Drosophila guanche. The record is from RNAcentral. Lineage: Eukaryota; Metazoa; Arthropoda; Insecta; Diptera; Drosophilidae.
UUAUUAUCUAUCUCAAACUUCAGGCAGCUUCAGCUUCAGGCAUCCAGCAUUAGCUGCGGCACUGCCUGUGUGUGGCUGUGUGGAAAGCGGAACUAGCGCCCGGUAGCACCUACGGGGGCAGAUCUAUCACAGAUCGAGGGAGGGAAACUGAGACUCGAUUCUGUGCGGCAACGUGUGAGGUAAUUGAGGGAAUCUUUUCAUAUUGAUUAGGGAUCAAGUUUGUGUCUCAAGUCUUUUGUUCUUAGAUGUUCUCUUCAGCCACAGAAUGAGUCACAACCAAAGUUCUUGGCAUGGGAAACACCCUUUUACCGAUUGGCUGGGAGGGUUCAUGGCAGGCAUCAUAUUUUAUAAAUAGACAUG